This 433-nucleotide ribosomal RNA is filed under the name uncultured bacterium. RNAcentral describes it as "partial 16S ribosomal RNA". It matches the Rfam family "Bacterial small subunit ribosomal RNA", at positions 29 to 507 of the family's 1533-position model. The record is from RNAcentral.
AACGAACGCUGGCGGCAUGCCUAACACAUGCAAGUCGAACGAGACCUUCGGGUCUAUUGGCGCACGGGUGCGUAACGCGUGGGAACCUGCCCUUAGGUUCGGAAUAACUCCCCGAAAGGGGUGCUAAUACCGGAUAAUGUCUUCGGACCAAAGAUUUAUCGCCUUUGGAUGUGCCCGCGUUGGAUUAGCUAGUUGGUAGGGUAAAAGACUACCAAGGCGACGAUCCAUAGCUGGUAUGAGAGGAUGAUCAGCCACACUGGGACUGAGACACGGCCCAGACUCCUACGGGAGGCAGCAGUGGGGAAUAUUGGAAAAUGGGCGAAAGCCUGAUCCAGCAAUGACGCGUGAGUGAUGAAGGCCUUAGGGUUGUAAAGCUCUUUUACCCGGGAUGAUAAUGACAGUACCGGGAGAAUAAGCUCCGGCUAACUCCGUG